UUGAUUACGUCCCUGCCCUUUGUACACACCGCCCGUCGCUACUACCGAUUGGAAGUUUUAGUGAGGCAUCUGGACUCGCCGGCCAUGGGAGGAGCAAUCCUCCUCGGCCUGGAGGGGAAGUUUGUCGAACUCAAAUUUCUAGAGGAAGUAAAAGUCGUAACAAGGUUUCCGUAGGUGAACCUGCGGAAGGAUCAUUACAAGUUUGUUGGAUGUCCUCCUGGACUUCUAGACACACAAUUUUAUCCACGACUCGCCGUUUCGGCGGCGAGUUGGUGACCAGAUGAAGUUAGGUCGUUCUAACAGUGGCUGCUCAUGAUAGUGGCAGUGGCCCGAGUUGAGGACCGAUCUGAGACGUGCUCAGGUUGCUGGCCAAGCGGGUCUGUGCUCUAGAUUGCAAGAGAGAGUUCAAAUCGCCCGCCGGCGUCAUGCGAAGUCGACUUGUGUUCGACGCUUGCAGUGUCCACGUCAGGCCAGCCAACUUAGGCGUCGCGUCGUAACACGACAACACACACAAGCAGCCUCGAGCUCGCGUGAAAACAACACUUAACCAACCAAACAAUAACAAAAGACAAAAUAAUCACAAUUAACGGUGGAUCACUUGGGUCGUAGAUCGAUGAAGAACGCAGCUAGACUGCGAUAGGCGGCGCGAACUGCAGAAUUAACUGAGCGCUUGGUAUUCGAACGCACAUUGCGGCUUUGGUUAGCAAUAACUAGAGCCUUGCCUGUAUGAGGGUCGGUUAGAACACAAGAUACUCCGUCUUGACCGACGGAGAUCGCGGCAGCAGCCGCUGGAAGGCCGACGUCCAGCUCGAAGGAGUAACAUCCCCAGGGUUGCGCGGCUCCUAUUGUUGACAGAGACCAGUUUGUGUCGCAUGUUUCUCACGAACGUGGCUCGACACCGAAGCUGGUAAGCCGGCUUGGAGUGCCAUCGCGGCCACUUCUUGCAAGCUCGAAUUUCGUCUUGCCCAGAAGAAACCGCGCUUGACCACUACUAGCCACUCAGGCGAACCAGUCUCGCGAGCAACGCACGUGCAGGCAACAGAUGCCUCACUACGACAACCCCAAACUCAGUCGACCUCAUAUCAGACAAGAUUACCCGCUAAAUUUAAGCAUAUUAUUCAGCGGAGGAAAAGAAAGCAAAAGCGAUUCCCUUAGUAACGGCGAGUGAAA
RNAcentral lists this unclassified non-coding RNA (1170 nucleotides) under Aceria massalongoi. RNAcentral's name for it is "sequence contains 18S rRNA gene, ITS1, 5.8S rRNA gene, ITS2, 28S rRNA gene". The stretch from base 1 to 197 matches the Rfam family "Eukaryotic small subunit ribosomal RNA", at positions 1641 to 1831 of the family's 1831-position model. Lineage: Eukaryota; Metazoa; Arthropoda; Arachnida; Trombidiformes; Eriophyidae. The record is from RNAcentral.